UGAAUACGAGAUGCUACGGCGUCGAAGCAGUGUAUGUCAGACUUCCAAGAAAAGCUCGCAAUGUCAUAAAUAAAGAAUGCCUGUACCAUAACCGACACAGGUGGGUAGGUAGAGUAUACUAAGGGGCGCGAGAUAACUCUCUCUAAGGAACUCGGCAAAAUAACUCCGUAACUUCGGGAGAAGGAGUGCCUUCUUGAAGAAGGUUGCAAUAACAAGAUCCAAGCAACUGUUUAUCAAAAACACAGGUCUCCGCUAAGUCGAAAGACGAUGUAUGGGGGCUGACGCCUGCCCAGUGCCAGAAGGUUAAAGAAGCUGGUUAGCAAUAGCGAAGCUGGUGACUGAAGCCCUGGUGAACGGCGGCCGUAACUAUAACGGUCCUAAGGUAGCGAAAUUCCUUGUCGGGUAAGUUCCGACCCGCACGAAAGGCGUAAUGAUUUGGAUACUGUCUCGGAGAGGGACUCGGUGAAAUAGACUUGUCUGUGAAGAUCGGACUACCUGCACCAGGACAGAAAGACCCUAUGAAGCUUUACUGUAACUUGAAAUUGAAAUUGGACUUUAUUUGCGCAGUAUAGGUGGAAGGCGUUGAGAUUACUCUUGCGGGAUUAGUGGAGCCAUCAGUGAGAUACCACUCCUAUAAUGUUAGAUUUCUAACUUUGGAUCAUAAUCUGGUCAAAGAACAGUUUCAGGCGGGCAGUUUGACUGGGGCGGUCGCCUCCCAAAUGGUAACGGAGGCGUACAAAGGUUUCCUCUGAACGGGUAGAAAUCGUAUCUAGAGUGUAAAGGCAUAAGGAAGCUUGACUGUGAGACCUACAAGUCGAGCAGGGACGAAAGUCGGUCUUAGUGAUCUGACGGUGCUGAGUGGAAAGGCCGUCACUCAACGGAUAAAAGUUACUCUAGGAUAACAGGCUGAUCUCCCCCAAGAGUUCACAUCGACGGGGAGGUUUGGCACCUCGAUGUCGGCUCAUCGCAUCCUGGGGCGGUAGUACGUCCCAAGGGUUGGGCUGUUCGCCCAUGAAAGCGGUACGCGAGCUGGGUUCAGAACGUCGUGAGACAGUUCGGUCCAUAUCCGGUGUAGGCGUUAGAAUAUUGAGAGGAGCCUUCUUUAGUACGAGAGGACCGAGAAGGACAUACCUCUGGUGUACCAGUUAUCGUGCCAACGGUAAACGCUGGGUAGCUAUGUAUGGAGAGGAUAACCGCUGAAAGCAUCUAAGUGGGAAGCCCACCUCAAGAUGAGUAUUCC
RNAcentral lists this ribosomal RNA (1240 nucleotides) under metagenome. RNAcentral describes it as "bacterial LSU rRNA". It matches the Rfam family "Bacterial large subunit ribosomal RNA", at positions 1564 to 2814 of the family's 2925-position model. The record is from RNAcentral.